NNUGAAUCACUUAAUAAGCCUAACCUUGACUCAAGCAGUGAAUGCCUAUAAACAUAGUAAAUGAAAAAAGCUAGUAUUUUUAUAACAUAAAGUAAUAUCAUUUAUAGCUUAUCAGUCAUAUAUUGUCCAACAGAAAUAAAAAGCCUGAUGGAGAUCUGUCUUCAUACCUAGAAACAUUGGAGGCUAUUUUUGUUAAAACUAUCAGAAUUUGCUAACUGCCAUUAUGACACAUAGUCCAAAGAAUGUAGAAACCUCCUUAUCAUGUUAAUUAAUUGUUCUUCCCUUUUGAAGAUUAUUGUGUUGACUAAACCAUAAUUCAAGUAGAGUGUCCCAAGAAAAACCACUGGGCUCCCUGUUUGGAGUCCAGCUGGCUCUGAGCACUGCUGGUGGCCCUGACUCAACCUGUGUGUCCUCCCCUUCUGGAGGCUUUGCAUUUUGCACCCAGCUUCAUUAACAGCAGGCUGAAAACAACAUAGGUUCUAGUGUUUAUGGAGUUUUUUGGCCAGGGCCUUUUGGCCUUUUGAGCAGUGUCCCAAUGAAGUUCUAGAUAUUUAUGUAAGAAUGAGCGCUUUUUUCCUCCUCCUUUUUUUUUAACGAUAAUGCCCUUUCACAGAUUUCUAACUACUUUGUAACUGCAUGACUUAACCUGGUGAUAAAAGCAGUUAUUAAAAGUCUACAUUUUCCAAAAUUUGUUUCUUUUCUGUGUUUUUAUAUUUAAUAGUCUCUCUCUUAGUAGGAUAAAACUACAUCUGGAUUUCAGAAAUUUUGUAACAGCUGCCUAUGUAUCAUUUCCUUAUGUUGUGUCCUGAGCUACCCAAAUUUUAUUCCUGAAUUCUUUUGCAUUUUAAUUUUAUUAAGUAAGCUGUUCUUGGGGAGGAGAUUUAAUGAUUAAAACUGAUAAGUG
This 904-nucleotide long non-coding RNA is filed under the name Marmota monax (woodchuck). The record is from RNAcentral. Lineage: Eukaryota; Metazoa; Chordata; Mammalia; Rodentia; Sciuridae.